This 305-nucleotide ribosomal RNA is filed under the name uncultured bacterium. Its description in RNAcentral is "bacterial SSU rRNA". It matches the Rfam family "Bacterial small subunit ribosomal RNA", at positions 335 to 638 of the family's 1533-position model. The record is from RNAcentral.
CUUCCUACGGGAGGCAGCAGUGAGGAAUAUUGGUCAAUGGUCGGGAGACUGAACCAGCCAAGCCGCGUGAGGGAUGAAGGUACAGAGUAUCGUAAACCUCUUUUGUCAGGGAACAAAGGCGGGGACGUGUCCCCGGAUGAGUGUACCUGAAGAAAAAGCAUCGGCUAACUCCGUGCCAGCAGCCGCGGUAAUACGGAGGAUGCGAGCGUUAUCCGGAUUUAUUGGGUUUAAAGGGUGCGCAGGCGGUCGGUUAAGUCAGCGGUCAAAGCUAGGGGCUCAACCCCGGCCCGCAGGUGAUAGUGGCA